GAUGAAGAACGCAGCGAAAUGCGAUACGUAAUGUGAAUUGCAGAAUUCAGUGAAUCAUCGAGUCUUUGAACGCACAUUGCGCCCCCUGGCAUUCCGGGGGGCAUGCCUGUUCGAGCGUCUCCAGGACGAAUCCUCGCGCGAGAGAACGCGCGGUCGUGGCGGAGGUGGCGUGCCCGAGCAGGGCGGCCACCGCGCUGGAAUCCAUGGGCGGACGCCUGCCGCGUGGCCGAGCGUGAUAUGACGCAUUGGCGCUCGUGCGCGGCGAGGCUGCCAGCCCUGGCCCGUCUGUCGGGCGGGGUAGAUCAACACGUGGGAACUCCUCGAAUCAGGUAGGGAUACCCGCUGAACUUAAGCAUAUCAAUAAGCGGAGGA
RNAcentral lists this unclassified non-coding RNA (372 nucleotides) under soil metagenome. RNAcentral's name for it is "partial contains 5.8S ribosomal RNA, internal transcribed spacer 2, and large subunit ribosomal RNA". The stretch from base 1 to 120 matches the Rfam family "5.8S ribosomal RNA", at positions 35 to 154 of the family's 154-position model. The record is from RNAcentral.